CAGUCGAGCGAUGAAGUUUCUUCGGAAAUGGAUUAGCGGCGAACGGGUGAGGAACACGUGAAGAAUCUGCCCUCCACUUUGGGAUAACACCGGGAAACCGGUGCUAAUACCGAAUAUUGAAACAUAAGUGGCAUCACUGAGUUUUGAAAGAAUUUCGGUGGAGGAUGACUUCGCGGCCUAUCAGCUAGUUGGUGAGGUAAUGGCUCACCAAGGCAACGACGGGUAGCCGGCCUGAGAGGGCGACCGGCCACACUGGGACUGAGACACGGCCCAGACUCCUACGGGAGGCAGCAGUGGGGAAUAUUGGGCAAUGGAGGAAACUCUGACCCAGCGACGCCGCGUGCGGGAUGAAGGCCUUCGGGUUGUAAACCGCUUUCAGUAGGGAAGAAGCGAAAGUGACGGUACCUACAAAAGAAGCACCGGCUAACUAUGUGCCAGCAGCCGCGGUAAUACAUAGGGUGCAAGCGUUGUCCGGAAUUAUUGGGCGUAAAGAGCUCGUAGGUCGUUUGUUACGUCGGAUGUGAAAACCUGAGGCUCAACCUCAGGCCUGCAUUCGAUACGGGCAAACUAGAGUUUGGUAGGGGAGACUGGAAUUCCUGGUGUAGCGGUGGAAUGCGCAGAUAUCAGGAGGAACACCAAUGGCGAAGGCAGGUCUCUGGGCCAAUACUGACACUGAGGAGCGAAAGUCUGGGGAGCGAACAGGAUUAGAUACCCUGGUAGUCCAGACCGUAAACGGUAGGCACUAGUUGUGGGAACCUUCCACGGUUUCUGCGACGCAGCUAACGCAUUAAGUGCCCCGCCUGGGGAGUACGAUCGCAAGAUUAAAACUCAAAGGAAUUGACGGG
RNAcentral lists this ribosomal RNA (845 nucleotides) under uncultured bacterium. RNAcentral's name for it is "bacterial SSU rRNA". It matches the Rfam family "Bacterial small subunit ribosomal RNA", at positions 59 to 917 of the family's 1533-position model. The record is from RNAcentral.